UACGGAGGGAGCUAGCGUUGUUCGGAAUUACUGGGCGUAAAGCGCGCGUAGGCGGUUACUCAAGUCAGAGGUGAAAGCCCGGGGCUCAACCCCGGAACUGCCUUUGAAACUAGGUGACUAGAAUCUUGGAGAGGUCAGUGGAAUUCCGAGUGUAGAGGUGAAAUUCGUAGAUAUUCGGAAGAACACCAGUGGCGAAGGCGACUGACUGGACAAGUAUUGACGCUGAGGUG
Molecule: ribosomal RNA, 230 nt
Filed under: uncultured microorganism
Description: partial 16S ribosomal RNA
Rfam family: Bacterial small subunit ribosomal RNA
Source: RNAcentral